Molecule: ribosomal RNA, 405 nt
Filed under: uncultured bacterium
Lineage: Bacteria
Description: partial 16S ribosomal RNA
Rfam family: Bacterial small subunit ribosomal RNA
Source: RNAcentral
GAUGAACGCUGGCGGCGUGCCUACUACAUGCAAGUUGAGCGAAGGGGGGAAGGGUGAGUAACACGUGGAUAACCUCCUAUACGACUGGGAUAACUUCGGGAAACCGUAGCUAAACCGGAUACUUAUCAAUGGCUCAGCGCUGCAUUAGCUCGUUGGUAGGGUAACGGCUAACCAAGGCAACGAUGCAUAGACGACCUGAGAGGGUGACCGGCCACACUGGAACUGAGACACGGUCCAGACUCCUACGGGAGGCAGCAGUAGGGAAUAUUCCGCAAUGGGCGAAAGCCUGACGGAGCAACGCCGCGUGAGUGAAGAAGGUCUUCGGGUCGUAAAACUCUGUUAUCAGGGAAGCGGUACCUGAUCAGAAAGCCACGGCUAACUACGUGCCAGCAGCCGCGGUAAUAC